CCCACUCCGAGAAGUACGUGAUUCUUCAGAACACCGGAGCAAGAGGGAAUCAGCCCUAUGCAGUAAGUACAUUGACAUUAAGUCAAGCUUGAAAUGACGUCAUAAGAUUGACAUAUGAAAGACAUUUCAAUAAAUAUGGCGGAUUGGUAUGCAGAAUAGCACUGUACUCAAUUUAUUGAAAUUUUCCUAUUUCAAUAUAUUGAAAUCAGGUCAAUUGACAUAUAGUUCGUAUGCUCUAAGACAAAUCCUUGAAGUAUUCCUAUCUCAACAUUGAAAAAAGUCAAUAAUUAUAUAGUCUUGAAAAACUUUGCCCGUUAAGGAACUAAAAUAAAGUCAAGAAUAUUUCGUAACUGAAAUUUGUGUAGUAUAGCAACUGUUGAGUUUUGUUUGAGCCAAAUUAACUCAAAAUAUAAUUAAACUUGCGUGGUUUUUACAUCAAUUAAUCCUUUUCGUUAGUGAACUGUGACAUCUGAGGUAGUGUAAUCAAAAUGGAACUAGUUUUUAUUAUUGACGUACUUGAAAACGAAAUUGUCAGGUAAGACACAAGACUGAACUAAUAAAGAACAUGAAAAUAAUGCUUUUAACAGACGCCAAUUGAAUCUACAACGUCGACAAUUGAGAGAUCAUAGUGAUCCUUUAACUUUGCCUGAAAUUACUUUUAAAGGUUUGUUUCGCAUAUCAAGGCAGCUAGCUCAAUGGGUACUUGAUCAAAUUCUUCCACAUAUGAGGGAUUCAGCACGCACAACAGCCAUCCCUAAAGGUCUUAGGUUUUUUGCUGCAUUACACUUUUUAAGUCAUGGAUCAUAUCAAAGAGGGGUAGGUCAAGAUUACCUGACAAGCAUGCAUCAAACUUCAGUAAGCAGAUGUCUUACAGAAGUAACUGACAUUUUAGUACAAGUAUUAGGCCACCUCAUAAAGUUCCCGGAAACUGAAGUGGAGAAAAACCAGGAAAAACAACGAUAGUGGUGGAUUUCCAGGAAUAAUUGGAUGUAUUGACUGUACACAAGUUGCUAUCAUAGCCCCAAAAACAGAAGACCCAGAAAUGCCCGGUGUUGUAUUUUACUGUCGAAAACAAUACUAUAGCUUAAAUGUUCAAAUAAUUUGUAAUACAAAGUUAAAAAUUUUAAACAUAAACGCAAGAUUUCCGGGAUCUGUGCACGAUUCUGCCAUUUGGCAGACAUCAUUGGUCAGAAGGCACUUAGUGAACAACUUUAGAGGAAAUGGUCGUCAAAUGACAUAUCUGUUAGGAGACGCAGGGUACCCCUUAGAGCCUUGGCUGUUAACACCAAUAGCUAAUCCAGUUACUAAUAGUGAAAGAGAAUACAAUCGCCGACAUAAAACAAUCCGAAAUAUCAUAGAAAGAACAAAUGGUCUAUUAAAACAAAGAUUUAGAUGCCUUCUCAAACAUCGAACCUUGCAUUAUGCUCCUGAGAGAGCAGCACAGAUUAUUUAUGCUGCUGCUAUCAUGCACAAUUUGUGUAUUGACAGGAAUGAAUAUUUAGGUGACAUAAAUGAUAAUUGUCAUGAAGAAGAAAAUAACAAUGAAGUAAACAAUAACAAUCAAAAUGCGGAUGAAGAAUUAGAUCUUCCUGAAAGAAACGUUUUACACCAAGGCCGUAUUGUAAGAAAUAGAGUAGUAGAAAAUUACUG
Photinus pyralis (common eastern firefly) is the source of this 1650-nucleotide RNA transcript. It is a transcript of the gene named putative nuclease HARBI1, with no coding region annotated. Lineage: Eukaryota; Metazoa; Arthropoda; Insecta; Coleoptera; Lampyridae. The transcript is spliced from 6 exons. The record is from RefSeq and is a predicted model, not a curated record.